RNAcentral lists this transfer RNA (73 nucleotides) under Ipomoea nil (Japanese morning glory). It matches the Rfam family "tRNA". Rfam says of the family: Transfer RNA (tRNA) molecules are approximately 80 nucleotides in length. Their secondary structure includes four short double-helical elements and three loops (D, anti-codon, and T loops). Further hydrogen bonds mediate the characteristic L-shaped molecular structure. tRNAs have two regions of fundamental functional importance: the anti-codon, which is responsible for specific mRNA codon recognition, and the 3' end, to which the tRNAs corresponding amino acid is attached (by aminoacyl-tRNA synthetases). tRNAs cope with the degeneracy of the genetic code in two manners: having more than one tRNA (with a specific anti-codon) for a particular amino acid; and 'wobble' base-pairing, i.e. permitting non-standard base-pairing at the 3rd anti-codon position. The record is from Rfam by way of RNAcentral. Lineage: Eukaryota; Viridiplantae; Streptophyta; Magnoliopsida; Solanales; Convolvulaceae.
AGGGGUGUAGCUCAUUUGGUAGAGCGCUCGCUUCGCAUGCGAGAGGCACGGGGUUCAAUUCCCCGCACCUCCA